RNAcentral lists this ribosomal RNA (460 nucleotides) under uncultured bacterium. RNAcentral describes it as "partial 16S ribosomal RNA". It matches the Rfam family "Bacterial small subunit ribosomal RNA", at positions 338 to 795 of the family's 1533-position model. The record is from RNAcentral.
CCUACGGGAGACAGCAGUGAGGAAUAUUGGUCAAUGGACGCAAGUCUGAACCAGCCAUGCCGCGUGCAGGAAGACGGCUCUAUGAGUUGUAAACUGCUUUUGUACGAGGGUAAACUCAGAUACGCGUAUCUGUCUGAAAGUAUCGUACGAAUAAGGAUCGGCUAACUCCGUGCCAGCAGCCGCGGUAAUACGGAGGAUUCAAGCGUUAUCCGGAUUUAUUGGGUUUAAAGGGUGCGUAGGCGGUCGGAUAAGUUAGAGGUGAAAUCCCGAGGCUCAACUUCGGAAUUGCCUCUGAUACUGUUAGGCUAGAGAGUAGGUGCGGUAGGCGGAAUGUAUGGUGUAGCGGUGAAAUGCUUAGAGAUCAUACAGAACACCGAUUGCGAAGGCAGCUUACCAAGCUACGUCUGACGUUGAGGCACGAAAGCGUGGGGAGCAAACAGGAUUAGAUACCCCAGUAGUC